CACGUAGUUAGCCGUGGCUUAUUCCUCAGGUACCGUCACUUGCUUCGUCCCUGAGAAAAGAAGUUUACAACCCGAAGCCUUCUUCCUUCACGCGGCGUUGCUGGGUCAGGCUUGCGCCCAUUGCCCAAUAUUCCCCACUGCUGCCUCCCGUAGGAGUCUGGGCCGUGUCUCAGUCCCAAUGUGGCCGGCCAACCUCUCAGUCCGGCUACUGAUCGUCGCCUUGGGUGGGCCGUUACCCCGCCAACUAGCUAAUCAGACGCGAGUCCAUCUCAGAGCGAUAAAUCUUUGAUGUCCAGUGCCAUGCGACACAGACAUAUUAUGCGGUAUUAGCAGCUGUUCCAGCUGUUACUUCCCCAUCCAAGGCAGGUUACUCACGCGUUACUCACCCGUCCGCCACUAAGUACGUCCCAUCAGUUGUACCCGAAAACUUCCUUCACGGGGGUUACUCCGUUCGACUUGCAUGUGUUAAGCACGCCGCCAGCCGUUCAUCCUGA
This 494-nucleotide ribosomal RNA is filed under the name uncultured Oscillospiraceae bacterium. RNAcentral's name for it is "partial 16S ribosomal RNA". Lineage: Bacteria; Bacillati; Bacillota; Clostridia; Eubacteriales; Oscillospiraceae. The record is from RNAcentral.